AUACGGAGGGGACUAGCGUUGUUCGGAAUUACUGGGCGUAAAGCGCGCGUAGGCGGAUUUGCAAGUCGGGGGUGAAAGCCCGAGGCUCAACCUCGGAACUGCCCUCGAUACUGCAAAUCUCGAGUCCGAGAGAGGUGAGUGGAAUUCCUAGUGUAGAGGUGAAAUUCGUAGAUAUUAGGAAGAACACCAGUGGCGAAGGCGGCUCACUGGCUCGGUACUGACGCUGAGGCGCGAAAGCGUGGGGAGCAAACAGGAUUAGAUACCCUGGUAGUCCACGCCGUAACCUAUGGGUGCUAGCCGUCGGGGAGCUUGCUCUUCGGUGGCGCAGCAAACGCAUUAAGCACCCCGCCUGGGGAGUACGGUCGCAAGAUUAAA
Molecule: ribosomal RNA, 375 nt
Filed under: uncultured bacterium
Lineage: Bacteria
Description: bacterial SSU rRNA
Rfam family: Bacterial small subunit ribosomal RNA
Source: RNAcentral